This 678-nucleotide long non-coding RNA is filed under the name Nicotiana benthamiana. RNAcentral's name for it is "long non-coding RNA (NBEN_LNC006178)". The record is from RNAcentral. Lineage: Eukaryota; Viridiplantae; Streptophyta; Magnoliopsida; Solanales; Solanaceae.
UGAUAGUCAGGCUGCUGUUCAUAUUGCUAACAAUCCUGUUUUUCAUGAACGUACCAAACAUAUCGAGGUGGACUGUCAUUUUGUUCGGGACUUGCUGCUAUCUGGUUUUCUCAAGUUGCUUCAUGUUCCUACCUCUCGUCAGUUGGCCGACCUGCUUACUAAGCCACUGCCUGGUACUAUGCUUCUUCCGCUGCUCACCAAGUUGCAGGUGGUUUCCCCCUCCAACUUGAGAGGGGGUGUUGAGAUGAAGGAAAUUACAUGAUUAUGUACAGUGUAUACACAAUGUAUAUUUAUUGUAUAAACUGGUAUACAAUAGUAUGGGCUGUGAUGAUUAUGUGUUGUUGGGCCAUUUGUAUGUAACCGAGCCCAAUUACUGUCUGAGCCUCAUUUCAUUUUACUCUUUGGGUCAUUCGACCCGACCCACGUGUACCUGUAUAUAUUGGGGUCCUCAGAUAUUUUGGGACCCCUGGACUUCAUUUUAUUUCUGUUCUUCGUUUAAUAAAAUCUCGAAACUGGUAUACAAUAGUAUGGGUUGUGAUGAUUAUGUGUUGUUGGGCCAUUUGUAUGUAACCGAGCCCAAUUACUGUUUGAGCCCCAUUUCAUUUUACUCUUUGGGUCAUUCGACCCGACCCACGUGUACCUGUAUAUAUUGGGGUCCUCAGAUAUUUUGGGACCCCU